This is a non-coding RNA of Prunus avium (sweet cherry), 2005 nucleotides long. The record is from RefSeq and is a predicted model, not a curated record. Lineage: Eukaryota; Viridiplantae; Streptophyta; Magnoliopsida; Rosales; Rosaceae.
CCCCCACCUUCGCCUCCAAACUUUCCCUCCAUUUUCUCCCCCCACUUUUUCUUUUCGUUUUUUUUUUCCAAUUUCUCUCGAUCUCUUCCUUUCUCCUUCCCUCCACCAAACCCACCAAAAAAAACCCGCCCAACCCACAAUCCGGUUCGGGUCGCUGGAUGUCGGGCUCUCGAGCUCAUGACCCGCCGGCUCAACCGCCCCAGCCGAUCAUGCAGCAGGCCCUCAAGCGGCAGCUCGCCUUCUCCUCCAUGAAACCGCCGUUUUCAGCUACAGCAGACUACCACGGCUUCGUUCCCGACCCUCGCCAACUCACUGAUUCAGAAGCUUAUGGCAUAUACGUUAAGCCCUCUCAGCUAAAACGGAAGAGUGAUGCGGCAGAUUACGAAGCUGAGUCUAGUGAUAGGACAGCUGCUCCUGGCUGAAGUAGUUACCAGCCCCCUCCAGACUCCCGUGUCAAGCAAGGUGGGAAAGGCAAACAAAACAUCAAGGCUGACAAAGUGCAGCAGAUCUGGACCACAGACUCCGGCUUUCAAUGUGGGUUCUCCUUCUGGGGCUAAUCUUACUCCGGCCGGACCUUGUCGUUUUGACAGCUCCCUAGGUCUCAUAACAAAAAAGUUUAUCAAUCUGAUCAAACGUGCGGAAGAUGGUAUUCUGGAUCUCAAUAAUGCUGCUGAUACUUUAGAGGUGCAAAAGAGGCGGAUAUAUGAUAUAACAAAUGUUCUUGAAGGAAUUGGUCUCAUAGAAAAGAAGCUCAAAAAUAGAAUUCAGUGGAAGGGACUUGAUGUCUCGAGGACAGGAGACGUGGACGAAAAUUAUCCUAGUUUACAGGCACAAGUUGAAAACCUAUCUGAUGAGGAGCGCAGAUUGGAUCAGCAAAUAAGAGAAAUGCAGGAAAGGUUGAGGGACCUGAGCGAAGAUGAAAGCAAUAAGAAAUGGCUUUUUGUCACUGAAGAAGACAUCAAGGGCUUACCUUGCUUGCAGAAUGAAACCUUAAUAGCAAUUAAAGCUCCACAUGGCACCACUCUUGAAGUCCCAGAUCCUGAUGAGGCUGUUGACUAUCCCCAAAGGAGAUACAGGAUGGUCCUGAGAAGCACGAUGGGUCCAAUAGAUGUUUACCUUGUCAGUCAAUUUGAGGAGAAGUUCGAGGAGAUUAAUGGUGUUGAAGUACCUACAGACAUCCCCUCAAGUUCAGGGGUUAAUGAAAACCCAGCUACAACAAUGGUCACAGAGAAUAGAGGGAAGGAUGUUGAAAUUCAGGGACCAGAUGAUCAUAGAAUGUGCGCUGAUCCCACUGCUUCCCAGGACAUCAUGAGUGGGAUGAUGAAGAUUGUUCCCUCAGAUGUUGAUAGUGAUGCAGAUUACUGGCUUUUAUCAGAUGCUGAUAUUAGUAUCACAGACAUGUGGAGAACAGAACCUGGGGUUGUAUGGAAUGAGUUGGGUGCAAUUGAUGAAGAUUAUGCCAUGGUUAAUGUCAGCACACCACGACCGCAAACUCCACCAUCCAGUUCAACUCAAGUACCGGCUACUGCCAACCGUACUAAGACUUGAAACCUAAAAAUGAUUCUUGCUGAAUCUAAUUGCAGAAGUGCACUCUUUUUUUCUGAGAACCUAUGAUGUCCAACCAUCUCAUGUAUUUGUUUCACCAGCGGAGGUUGGGUUGAAGGUUCCAGUAAGUGUUCCCGGAAGAUCCAUCUGAGGAACAAAGGAACAGCGGAACCAAAGAUGGAGGUAGCUGCAUUGUUGUACAUUAAUGUAAUAUACAUAUCCAUGAUACGGUGGCAAAUAAUUAAGAGGAUACAAUUGUUAGUACAUCAUGUAUAUUGUUAGAAUUAGCAGGCUUUUCUUGUAUUAACCAGGGUGAAGUAGACUGGCUAGUAAUAAGUCUGGAUAAGGUUGGAUAGGGAGAAUGUUGGGUAGUUUCAGGACCCCAAAAAAGGAAAGGAUUUAUGUUCUGAUGCCUCGUUUUGUUUUGAAUUAUACUGAUGAGCUAUUUUCUGAACUAGAA